Molecule: ribosomal RNA, 797 nt
Filed under: uncultured bacterium
Lineage: Bacteria
Description: bacterial SSU rRNA
Rfam family: Bacterial small subunit ribosomal RNA
Source: RNAcentral
AGAGUUUGAUCAUGGCUCAGAUUGAACGCUGGCGGCAGGCCUAACACAUGCAAGUCGAGCGGUAGCACAAGAGAGCUUGCUCUCUGGGUGACGAGCGGCGGACGGGUGAGUAAUGUCUGGGAAACUGCCUGAUGGAGGGGGAUAACUACUGGAAACGGUAGCUAAUACCGCAUAACGUCUUCGGACCAAAGUGGGGGACCUUCGGGCCUCACGCCAUCAGAUGUGCCCAGAUGGGAUUAGCUAGUAGGUGGGGUAAUGGCUCACCUAGGCGACGAUCCCUAGCUGGUCUGAGAGGAUGACCAGCCACACUGGAGCUGAGACACGGUCCAGACCCCUACGGGAGGCAGCAGUGGGGAAUAUUGCACAAUGGGCGCAAGCCUGAUGCAGCCAUGCCGCGUGUGUGAAGAAGGCCUUCGGGUUGUAAAGCACUUUCAGCGAGGAGGAAGGGUAGUGUGUUAAUAGCACAUUGCAUUGACGUUACUCGCAGAAGAAGCACCGGCUAACUCCGUGCCAGCAGCCGCGGUAAUACGGAGGGUGCAAGCGUUAAUCGGAAUUACUGGGCGUAAAGCGCACGCAGGCGGUUUGUUAAGUCAGAUGUGAAAUCCCCGCGCUUAACGUGGGAACUGCAUUUGAAACUGGCAAGCUAGAGUCUUGUAGAGGGGGGUAGAAUUCCAGGUGUAGCGGUGAAAUGCGUAGAGAUCUGGAGGAAUACCGGUGGCGAAGGCGGCCCCCUGGACAAAGACUGACGCUCAGGUGCGAAAGCGUGGGGAGCAAACAGGAUUAGAUACCCCGGUAGU